Bicyclus anynana (squinting bush brown) is the source of this 2293-nucleotide long non-coding RNA. RefSeq lists it as uncharacterized. The record is from RefSeq and is a predicted model, not a curated record. The transcript is spliced from 2 exons. Lineage: Eukaryota; Metazoa; Arthropoda; Insecta; Lepidoptera; Nymphalidae.
UUUUAGGGGUCUGAAAUUUUUAGGGGUAUUUUCAGGGACUUUUUGACUUUUUAAUAUUUUUAAAUUGAUGAUAAUUUUAAUAUAUCUUUCUUGACCUAGCGACUUAUAACGAUAUAUAAUACGUUAUUCUACAACCACUCUGAGGCAACUGGCGGCAAUUUUCAUCGAAUAAAAAAAAAUGUUAAAUUUAUUAAUUGUCAACAUGUAUGAUUUCAAAAAAUCUGAAUCUUCAGAUAAAUACGUAAUAUUUUGUCUGUAUUAAAUAAGACUUUUGAAACAUAUUACAGCAUAUUAUUUCUAAAUUAUUAUGAAUUUAUAUUUUUAGGGGGACAACUCAAUAAUUAAGGCGAUUUUAGGGGUUUUUGACACAAACUUUAGGGAUAAAUAUUUUGGACAGUUGGUAACACUGUUUCGAAACAACAUCUCACUCCUCCAAGAACUGGGGAUCAAACAGCAUCUUUCUUCCAGCAUCUAAUGUCUUACACACACUUCUUUGGACGUAAAUGAAUGAAUGAAAUGAAAAUAUACUUUAUUGUACACCACACAGAAACAUACGAUACAGAAAAAUAAUGGAAAGAAAGAAAAAUGCACAAUAGGCGGCCUUAUCGCUAAAAAGCGAUCUCUUCCAGGCAACCUAACGAAGAAACUAAUAAUAAAAAUUAUAAAGAUAUAGGCUAGGGUGUACAGAGGUAAUAUAUAAAAGAAAAUAACGCAUAAAAAAGAAAAUAGUUAAAUACUUAUGUAACAAAAUACUAAGAAAUAUCAACAUAUAUAAUAUACAAUACGAUACAUAUACCAUAUAAUACAAAUUGUAUAUUUACAAUAUUUAUACAUACGUAUACGAGUAUAUAUAUAAAUAUAGAUAUAUAAUAAAUAUAAAUGUAUAAAUAUGUAAAAAAAAUAUAUAUAUAAACAUGUCAUAAACACAACAAACCAUGACGAUAAUUAUUAAAAAAAAAAAAAAUACAAAAUUUAAGGUGGAAAGUAAUGUUUACCAAUGAGCCCCUUGAAUAUCCGUAAAGAUUUCGCACGUCUGAUAUCAGGAGGGAGAGAGUUCCACAGCCUUACGGAUUCGACAGCAAAGGAUCUAGAGAAAAAAGAAGUACUAUGAGUGGGAAUUUUUAAGAUAAGGUUAUCGUCAGAACGGAGUGAACGACAGUGAGUAUCACUAAGAAACUCAAACCGUUCUUUCAGAUAAAAAGGAGUAUAGUGAUGGAAAAGAACAGAGUAUAAAAGAGACAGAAUAUGAGUAUUCCUGCGAAGACGAAUCGGAAGCCACUUGAGCUUAGUCCGAAAUUCAGAAAUGUGGUCAUAUUUUCGAAGUCCAAAUAUGAACCGAAUGCAGAGAUUUUGAAUACGCUCAAGUUUAUUAAAUUGCUCAAUAGUUAAAUCUAGAUAGCAAGUAUCAGCAUAAUCAAGAAUUGGUAAAAGGAGAGAUUGAGCCAACGUAAUUUUAGUAGGUAUAGGCAGGAAGUUACUGAGACGUCGCAAAGAAUGUACUGCUGCAAACAUCUUCCUGCUCACUUCGCUAACCUGAGGGACCCAGGAGAGAUAUUUAUCAAAUACAACACCUAGAUUUCGUACUGUAUCGCUAAAUGGUAGUUGAACUCCAUCAAAAACAACACAAGGAAGUGUUGUCCAGUUAAUACGGGCAAUUUGUUUGUGACUGCCUAUAAUGAUGACCUGUGUUUUAGAAGCAUUUACUUGCAGACCAUAAGAUCUACCCCACUCAACAAUUCCCUGUAAAUCUUUAUUCAUUGAAUUAAUUUUAAGGGGUAAGACAAAGAGACGAUAAGUCCAUAUCCUUAGAGAGACAUAAACUCACUACCUACGAUAUUUAAUACCUUAUCAUGUUGUAGAUUUCUGCGACAUCUUGCAUGUUGUUGUAUCCAAUGUGUUUGGAUUUGUGUUCCUGGGCUUAUGUGUGUGGUUUAGUUAAGUUUACUUAAGUUUGCUGGCUAUUAAGCAAAAAGGAAUCGAAUUUCAUUUUUAAAAGUAUGAUUAUGCCAAACGAACUCUUUCGUCAUCGCUCAUAGGAGAUUUGGAAUAUGCCCUAUAACUGCAGACUCCAAUAUUGCAAAUAGCACCUGCAAUACAGUGGAAUAACAUAUUGGUGUGCUGAAGAAAAGAUGGCAAAGGCUUUUAGCUGAUAGGAUAUUGUAAUGAUGACCCUGUUCUGUUCAAAUCAUAAAUGUGUGUGUAUUAUCAAAAUAUUUGCAUAGAUUGUGAAAUGCUGAUGAUAUUUAAUUUGGUUGGAUUUUGAUAUUUGAAAAUAAAAGAAUACUUACUUUGC